Harpegnathos saltator (Jerdon's jumping ant) is the source of this 1244-nucleotide RNA transcript. RefSeq lists it as uncharacterized. The record is from RefSeq and is a predicted model, not a curated record. The transcript has 4 exons. NCBI's taxonomy places the organism in Eukaryota, Metazoa, Arthropoda, Insecta, Hymenoptera, Formicidae.
CUAUAUAACUAUGGACUGCUAGCAGCUUACUUUUCCACGCAAUAAGUGUCUACAAACAUCUGCAGCGCCGCCAGUACCAAACACGGCAAAUGAUGGAACUCGUUGAGCAUAACGAAUGAUAACGAAGUAGACGUAUCUAGUAGCUAUAUAUUAUACCAUAUGAGAUAAUAAUAACACGGCAAUUACAAACAAGAAAAUAAUAAAUAAAAAUGAAAUACUGUGUUGUCCAUUGGUGCAAUAAUUCUAUUCAUAAAGAGAAAAAGACAGGAAAGCAUGUGGCUUUAUUUGCAUUUCCAAAAAAUCUGGAACAUCGUACAAAAUGGGUGAAAGCAUUGAAAAAUGUGGCCAUAAAAACAAAUAGCACUAUAUGUCAAGAACAUUUUAAUGAAACCUGUAUGUACAAAACUGGAUUGUCAUCAUUACGCUUGUACGAAGGAUCUGUACCAUCUAUAUUUCCACAUGUUUCUAAUUUAAGCAUAACAGAAAGUAUACACUGUAACGAAAACAAUAAUGCAUCUUCUGAAGUAGUGAUGGAAGAUGAAUCAACAAUUGGUUCUCAUCAAGGACAAACACAAGAUGAUAUGACAUAUUCAACAAAAACCAAUACUGUGGCGUCAAGUGAUAAAUGUUUAAUAAGAUAUCCAGGAGAUAUUACAACCGAAAAAGUGGCAAACAUGUCGUCAAGUAGUUUAAGGAAGUUUAAUUAUUAAAUUAUUAAAAAAGAUUACUUGCGAAACAUGUCUUUAUCUUUUUAACGAAUGUACAGUUAUGAAGUCUACAUUCAUAGAAAGAAAAAGCUGUGGAUAUUUACAUUAUCCACGAGAAGAUACAUAUAAACUCAUUGUUGCCGCUGAUAAAGUUUUUAAUUUUUAUAAAUUACAGAAUAAUUUGUAUAAGAAAAAUGCAUGCCAAGAAAUAAUUAUAAAAACAAUACGUAAUAUUGAUAUGGAUAAGAUAUUUAUAAAUUUUAACAACCACGUUAAUGAGUUAGACGUUUUCGAAAAUCACAAAUAUUAUUUAAUUAAAUUAAUUAUAGAAUGUUAUAUACAGAUUCUUAUGAAUUAUGAAGGGAAAUUAAUGAGCCAAAAUAUUGAGUACAUCAGACAUCAGUUUACAAAAAUUAUUUUAUUCAAAGGAAUGAAAAGUGCGAUGAUAGUUCUAAUAAUGGCCGUGUUUGGUACUGGCGGCGCUGCAGAUGUUCAUAGAUGCCCAAAGUCAUUGCUAGCAAUCCAUAGUUAUAUAGU